RNAcentral lists this long non-coding RNA (1470 nucleotides) under Triticum aestivum (bread wheat). RNAcentral's name for it is "long non-coding RNA (TAES_LNC020148)". The record is from RNAcentral. Lineage: Eukaryota; Viridiplantae; Streptophyta; Magnoliopsida; Poales; Poaceae.
GAAGAAACUAAAUACUGAGACAGAGUCCAUGUCUCUUCUAUUUUUCGAUGAACUAAUAAGUCAUAUCAUGGUAUGAAGUGAGUCAUGCACAACCACAUCAGCCAUGCUACAUUUUCCAAUGAAAUGUCAGUUUUGUCCACAGAUACAAACUGCGCAAGUUGCAUGCAGCCUUCUACAAAUUACUUGCAAAUGUACAAGGGUAACUUACUUUUUAUCCUUGUUAGCUUAAAAAGGACACCACAGCUUCACUAUGACUCUCAUACAAGCUAAGCUUCACAACAAUUUCUCCAACAGCAUAGUAUGUGUCACCUCAGCAGCUUGGAUAUCUAAUGAGGACAGAAAGGAAGCAUCAGGCAACCAAAACAAAAGAAUGACACCUCUGCAGCUUCAGAAUUAAUUAGUACCAAUUAAACAAAGACAUAGAGCAUCAUGCCUACCUUUUGUUCUAGAUGGUAUGCCCCUUUUUGACUAUAUAUAUGCUAGCUAGCUUUUGCCGGUCUCAAAAAGAAGCAUCAAGCAUUCAGGCAGUCACAUGCAUAUUUCUCAUAAAUUGUGGAGCAUUAAUGUUUCUGUAUCUUUUGAUACAUAUACAUGGAGUUUAAUUUUCUCCUGUUAUCAAAUACGCAGUGAAAAACUACCGACGUACAACUACUAAUUAUAUGAGAAAAUCAUCAUCCAACCUAAUAGCUACAAAUUACAAGUAAGCAAUCCAUCAUGUUUAAUUAAACACAGGUAGACAUGUCAUCAUACUUGAUUAACCCUAUUUAAUUUGUUUCUCCCAUGUAGCAAGUAGAGAGCCUACACUGGAAUAGGGGUUCUCUCCUAAAAAAUGAUGCAGCCGCCAUUAGGAAAGAGGAACAACUAAUUAAGCACCCUCCAAUUAAAUUUCACUUUAUCUUCUUUCCAUGAGAAAUUAAUUGAUUAAAGAGGGACGAUUAAUUUAUUAGUCCAGUUCAUCAAAAGUCAGUAAGACUAAAAGAAAGGAAGGGACGAUUAAUCUAAAGCAGAGAAGAGACAGAGCUACCACCUUUGGCUGGAUCAAAGAAGAUAACCUUGUGUUUUCCUCCUCAGGAGCCUUGUGCCACUUCUCUUUUAUUUGAUAAGAAUCCCAUUGCCACCCAGCUUCUUCUAAUCUCCCUCGUCAGCAGUUCCUUUCAGCAUCCCGUUGUCCAGAGUCAAGCUAAUUAAAUUUCUAUCAAUCUCAGAGCUUAGAAAGCAUAAAUGUGCAGACGCCUAAAUAAAGAGACGGAGGAGGAACUUUUACAAUCCAAUUUGUAAGCAUCAAUCUCCAAGAAGGAAGAAAUCAAGGGAGAACCAGACCAAGGAGAUUUUUUUACUAGGUUAGAGAGAGAGUAGACCAUACGGAGGAUGGCAGUCACCGCUGUCUUCUUGUCGUUGGCGCCUUCUCCGACAGAGGAGGGCUGGAUUUGCAGUGGCCGGCGCCGCCGCAGCCCAAAUCGCCGUCCCCGC